AUGGAUCGCUCGCCUGCCAAGUUCGUCUUGCUCCUUAUGGCAGCAGCGGCAACCUGGAGCUUCUUCGCCGUCGCCGACGCAGGCAAGCUCCAACCGAGCUGCAUAGGGCGCGAGAGGGACGCCUUGCUGGCCUUCAAGGAAAGCAUCAAUGAUACGGGUGGCGAACUAGGGUCGUGGCGACAAGAGCGCCAAGAUUUCUGCCAAUGGGCAGGCAUCACCUGCGAUAACGUAACCGGCCACGUCGUCAAGCUUGACCUUGGCGGAAGAUAUUAUUUGGUCGGUGAGAUAAGUCCUUCUUUGCUUUCUCUAGAGCAUCUCGAGUACCUCAAUCUCUGGGGCACGGGACUCUCAAUAGCCGAUUGGCCUCUUGUUAUGAAUAAGAUUCCAUCUUUGGAGUUGCUCGAUUUUUCUGGGUGCUUGCUUUCUAGUGCCAACCAAUCCCUCGCACACAUAAACCUCACAAAUCUUCAGGAGCUUUUUCUCUCCUACAACCACUUUGGCCAUCCACUUUCCUCCAGUUGGUUUUGGAAGUUAACAAGCCUCAAGUACCUCGGCCUUUCUGACCUAUCGCUUGAUAGAAGCCUCUCCUUUGGAAACAUAACAGAGUUUCUAGAUAAAUUGCCUAGAUGUUCAUCCAACAGAUUACGGUACUUGAGCUUGAGCAGCAACAAUAUGGUUGGAAUUCUGCCAAACAGAAUGGGGCACUUGACCAACUUAUCUUUGUUCGACCUUUUUUACAAUAACAUUACUGGAGAUAUACCACCAUGGUUGGGAAACACUAGUUUGGAGUAUCUUUCUCUUUCGAGCAACCAUCUUACUGAACCUGUACUGCUAAGGACAAUGAGUUGCACUAUAUUAGAAGACCUUGACCUUUCUGACAACAAUAUUACUGGAGUUAUACCGCCAUGGUUGGGGAAUUGCACUAGUUUGAUUCACCUUUCACUAUCUAAGAACCUUCUCACUGGGCACGUCCCAUGGACUCUUCCAUCAGAGUUUGGAGCUUACGGAUUAGUAGAACUGAGUUUAUCCUCCAAUUACUUCAAUGGGCAUAUUCCUGAAUCUAUUUGUAUGUUGAGCAACCUACUUGUCUUGGAUUUAUCAGACAACCUUCUAGAGGGAGAACUUCCUCAGUGUUCUCACAAGUCUAACAUGGUCUUCCUCCUCUUAAGCCACAAUACGUUUUCUGGCAAUUUCCCAUCAUCACUGAAGAACUACUCGAGUUUGGCAUUUGUGGAUCUUUCAGUGAAUAAUUUCUAUGGAACAUUGCCAUCAUGGAUUGGAGACUUGGUAUAUUUGCGCUUUCUGCAGCUAAGUCAUAAUUUCUUCUGUGGAGUUAUUCCGGUGACUAUCACAAAACUUAUACACCUUCAUCAGCUUAGUUUAGCAGGAAAUAGUAUAUCUGGUGUUAUACCCUGGUCUUUGUCAAAUUUAACAGGAAUGACCCAAAAACAACCAAAGAAGCCUGGGGUUGACAUGUUUAUAUGGUAUAACGGCCAUGUGGGUAAAUUUAGAGAAGUUUGGCCUAUUGUGAUGAAGCGCCAAGAACUAAAGUACGGUACUAGAAUUUUGGAUGUGGUCAGUAUGGACCUAUCACUCAACUACCUAACAGGUGAAAUUCCAUAUGGGCUUACCUCUCUUAAAGGACUGUUGAAUCUGAACUUCUCAUGGAAUCAAUUGAGUGGAAAAAUUCCUAGGAAGAUUGGAGAUAUGAAAUCACUUGAAUCGCUCGACCUCUCAAGGAAUAAACUUUCUGGUGAAAUCCCAACAAGCUUGUUAGAUUUGACGUAUUUAAGCUCCUUGGACUUGUCAUAUAACAAUCUUACAGGAAGAAUUCCACAGGGAAGUCAACUUGACACCCUCUACUUGGAGAACCCGUCCAUAUACACGGGCAACAUUGGUCUGUGUGGCACUCCUCUUGAAAGGAAUUACUCAGGAAGCAAUGCACCGGAGCAUGACAAUCAACAGAAAAUUGAGAAGGUUUCUGAACCUGUGUUGUUCUUUUACUUUGGACUUGGGUCUGGGUUUGUGGUUGGCCUUUGGGUUGUGUUUUGCACCUUACUAUUCAAGAAAGUUUGGAGGGUUGCCUAUUUCCGCCUCUUUGACAAGUCGUAUGACAAGGCAUAUGUGUUUGUGGUUGUUACUUGGGGCAGGACAAACCGCAAGCCGGCAGCAACUUAA
This 2178-nucleotide ribosomal RNA is filed under the name Triticum aestivum (bread wheat). RNAcentral's name for it is "partial small subunit ribosomal RNA". Lineage: Eukaryota; Viridiplantae; Streptophyta; Magnoliopsida; Poales; Poaceae. The record is from RNAcentral.